This 192-nucleotide ribosomal RNA is filed under the name uncultured Actinomycetales bacterium. RNAcentral describes it as "partial 16S ribosomal RNA". It matches the Rfam family "Bacterial small subunit ribosomal RNA", at positions 139 to 334 of the family's 1533-position model. Lineage: Bacteria; Bacillati; Actinomycetota; Actinomycetes; Actinomycetales. The record is from RNAcentral.
CGGGAUAAGCUUGGGAAACUGGGUCUAAUACCAGAUAGGAGCCAUCUUUAGUGUGGUGGUUGGAAAGUUUUUUCGGUGUAGGAUGAGCUCGCGGCCUAUCAGCUUGUUGGUGGGGUAAUGGCCUACCAAGGCGGCGACGGGUAGCCGGCCUGAGAGGGUGUACGGCCACAUUGGGACUGAGAUACGGCCCAG